GGAAGUAAAAGUCGUAACAAGGUCUCCGUUGGUGAACCAGCGGAGGGAUAAUUACUGGAAUCGCAAGAUCNNACAACCCUNGUGAACCUACCGAAACGUUGCCUCGGCGGGCGCCCGGCCCUGCGCCAGGGCGUCGAGCCCGCCGGCGGCCCACUACUCUGUCUCUGCAGCGUGGCAUCACCGAGAAUACAAAAACAAGUAAAAACUUUCAACAACGGAUCUCUUGGUUCUGGCAUCGAUGAAGAACGCAGCGAAAUGCGAUAAGUAAUGCGAAUUGCAGAAUUCAGUGAAUCAUCGAGUUUUUGAACGCACAUUGCGCCCGCCUGCAUCCUGGCGGGCAUGCCUGUUCGAGCGUCAUUUCCACCCUCAGGCCCUGCCUGGUGUUGGGGGCCUGCACCCGCAGCCCCUGAAAGAUACCGGCGGUCCCGACCCAGGCCCCGAGCGUAGUACUACACGCCGCUCCGGGCGCCUGGCGGGCCCCAGCCGCAAGCCUCUCUAUACUAGGUUGACCUCGGAUCAGGUAGGAAUACCCGCUGAACUUAAGCAUAUCAAUAAGCGGAGGA
This 563-nucleotide ribosomal RNA is filed under the name Phialophora phaeophora. RNAcentral's name for it is "eukaryotic LSU rRNA". The stretch from base 204 to 357 matches the Rfam family "5.8S ribosomal RNA". Lineage: Eukaryota; Fungi; Ascomycota; Eurotiomycetes; Chaetothyriales; Herpotrichiellaceae. The record is from RNAcentral.